RNAcentral lists this ribosomal RNA (691 nucleotides) under Staphylococcus pseudintermedius. Its description in RNAcentral is "partial 23S ribosomal RNA". It matches the Rfam family "Bacterial large subunit ribosomal RNA", at positions 498 to 1191 of the family's 2925-position model. Lineage: Bacteria; Bacillati; Bacillota; Bacilli; Caryophanales; Staphylococcaceae. The record is from RNAcentral.
GUACCGUGAGGGAAAGGUGAAAAGUACCCCGGAAGGGGAGUGAAAGAGAACUUGAAACCGUGUGCUUACAAGUAGUCAGAGCCCGUUAAUGGGUGAUGGCGUGCCUUUUGUAGAAUGAACCGGCGAGUUACGAUCUGAUGCAAGGUUAAGCAGAAAAUGUGGAGCCGUAGCGAAAGCGAGUCUGAAUAGGGCGAAUGAGUAUUUGGUCGUAGACCCGAAACCAGGUGAUCUACCCUUGGUCAGGUUGAAGUUCAGGUAACACUGAAUGGAGGACCGAACCGACUUACGUUGAAAAGUGAGCGGAUGAACUGAGGGUAGCGGAGAAAUUCCAAUCGAACUUGGAGAUAGCUGGUUCUCUCCGAAAUAGCUUUAGGGCUAGCCUCAAGUGAUGAUUAUUGGAGGUAGAGCACUGUUUGGACGAGGGGCCCCUCUCGGGUUACCGAAUUCAGACAAACUCCGAAUGCCAAAUAAUUUAACUUGGGAGUCAGAAUGUGGGUGAUAAGGUCCAUAUUCGAAAGGGAAACAGCCCAGACCACCAGCUAAGGUCCCAAAAUAUAUGUUAAGUGGAAAAGGAUGUGGCGUUGCCCAGACAACUAGGAUGUUGGCUUAGAAGCAGCCAUCAUUUAAAGAGUGCGUAAUAGCUCACUAGUCGAGUGACACUGCGCCGAAAAUGUACCGGGGCUAAACAUAU